Molecule: ribosomal RNA, 637 nt
Filed under: uncultured fungus
Lineage: Eukaryota; Fungi
Description: eukaryotic LSU rRNA
Rfam family: Eukaryotic large subunit ribosomal RNA
Source: RNAcentral
ACCCGCUGAACUUAAGCAUAUCACUAAGCGGAGGAAAAAAAAUUAACUAAGAUUGCCUCAGUAACGGCGAGUGAAGCGGCAAGAGCCCAAAAUGUAAAUCUUCACGCUGCGCGUGACGAAUUGUAAUCUAAAGAUGGUUCGCUCAACGGGUGGUGGCGCAGAAGUGCCCUAGAACGGGCCGCCAGAGAGGGUGACAGCCCCGUAUGUGGUGCCACUGCCUAACGAGCGAGUUAUCGAAGAGUCGGGUUGUUUUGUAUUGCAGCCCUAAGUGGGAGAUAAACUUCUUCUAAGGCUAAAUAUAUAUGGGAAACCGAUAGCGAACAAGUACUGUGAAGGAAAGAUGAAAAGAACUUUGAAAAGAGAGUCAAAAGACUUGAAAUCGUUGAGAAGGAAGCGGCAGGAAUUUAUUCUUCGGCGGAGGACGGUGACGGCUGCCUAACCAUUGCUGGCUGUCAGUACUGCAUAAGGCUGCGGCUAGUACUUGGGGAAGCGGCCGUCUUGCCCUCCGUCGUGAGGCAAGAUGGGGUCGUGUUCCCGCAGAGGCUGCCCCGACCUGGCCUGAUUCGUUAGGCAGUCGGGGUGUGCUGGCGGGCGUGCGGCCUGAGGGUGCCUCGUGCGAUCUUGCCAAAAUGGUUCU